This 253-nucleotide ribosomal RNA is filed under the name uncultured bacterium. RNAcentral's name for it is "partial 16S ribosomal RNA". It matches the Rfam family "Bacterial small subunit ribosomal RNA", at positions 524 to 776 of the family's 1533-position model. The record is from RNAcentral.
UACGUAGGGGGCAAGCGUUGUCCGGAUUUACUGGGCGUAAAGCGCGCGUAGGCGGAACGACCAGUCCGGCCUGAAAGCCCCCGGCUCAACCGGGGAGGGAGGCCGGAAACUGUCGAUCUUGAGGGCGGUAGAGGAGAGCGGAAUUCCUGGUGUAGCGGUGAAAUGCGUAGAUAUCAGGAGGAACACCAGUGGCGAAGGCGGCUCUCUGGGCCGACCCUGACGCUGAGGCGCGAAAGCGUGGGGAGCAAACGGG